This is an RNA transcript of Arabidopsis thaliana (thale cress), 435 nucleotides long. RefSeq lists it as uncharacterized. NCBI's taxonomy places the organism in Eukaryota, Viridiplantae, Streptophyta, Magnoliopsida, Brassicales, Brassicaceae. The transcript is spliced from 2 exons. The record is from RefSeq.
UCUCCAUUCAUCUUCUUCUUCAAAAGGAAAACAAAAGAAUCCAGAGCGUGAAAGAGAUGACCCAUUCAGAGUAUGCCGAUGAUUUAUGAAACGAUUUCAUCUCGUUUCGUGAUUGAUCACCAUCCUCUGUUUUCUGUCAAUCGGGUCUACCCUAAUUUCACCGUUCUCAUGAGAUUAGUGAAGACGACGACCAGUUCAGUGGCAGCGAAGAAUAACUUGGCGAUGGAACAGAUCAUGUUCAGUGGACUUGGUAAUGACGACGAGUGCGAUAGUUUGAGUUUCAUCGAUGUCAUCAACUACAGAACAGAGCAGUGACGAAGAAUUUGGUAAUGGGCUUUUCCUGUGACGGCCCAAACGAGGUCCAAUCAGAGCUACACUAGGAUUUUGGAAUGGGCUUUGCUGUAUGAGGCCUUCUUUACAACCAAAUCCAAUAAG